RNAcentral lists this ribosomal RNA (496 nucleotides) under uncultured bacterium. RNAcentral describes it as "partial 16S ribosomal RNA". It matches the Rfam family "Bacterial small subunit ribosomal RNA", at positions 28 to 506 of the family's 1533-position model. The record is from RNAcentral.
GAUGAACGCUGGCGGCGUGCCUAAUACAUGCAAGUCGAGCGAACGGACGAGAAGCUUGCUCCUCUGAUGUUAGCGGCGGACGGGUGAGUAACACGUGGAUAACCUACCUAUAAGACUGGGAUAACUUCGGGAAACCGGAGCUAAUACCGGAUAAUAUUUUGAACCGCAUGGUUCAAAAGUGAAAGACGGUCUUGCUGUCACUUAUAGAUGGAUCCGCGCUGCAUUAGCUAGUUGGUAAGGUAACGGCUUACCAAGGCAACGAUGCAUAGCCGACCUGAGAGGGUGAUCGGCCCAACUGAAACUGAGACACGGUCCAGCUCCCUAGGGGAGGCGGCAGUAGGAAUUCUCCGGAAUGGGGGGAAGCCCUGACGGAGAAAGGCGGGGGAGGGAAGGAAGGUCUCCGGAUCGUAAAACCUUGUUAUUGGGGAAAAACAUAUGUGUAAGUAACAGGGCAGAUCUGGCCGGAACCAAACCAGAAGGCCACGCCUAACUCCUG